Long non-coding RNA from Oxyura jamaicensis (ruddy duck), 455 nucleotides. RefSeq lists it as uncharacterized. NCBI's taxonomy places the organism in Eukaryota, Metazoa, Chordata, Aves, Anseriformes, Anatidae. The transcript is spliced from 3 exons. The record is from RefSeq and is a predicted model, not a curated record.
UGACGUACGAGCCGCUUGCUGCUUCUCUUUUUCUGUUUUUCUUUCCGGUAGCCUCCUCAGAAGUCGUCGUGGACACGUUGCGUAUCUUUUCUGUUCUUCCGGGAUUCAUUCGUCGGGAAAGACGACCACAAAAUCCGAGGGCUCGGCCCGUCGACUGCUCCCGGAAGGCAGAAAGAGUCCUCGCACCGAGUUCCCCUAGUGCGACAGCAUGUAAAGUUGGAGGCCUUGGAAGUCCUGAUCCAUCCCUUCCGAGCAGGAGAUUGUGAACGUGGAGAGAGUCGAAGCUGCAACCUGCGUGGGAAGGACUGUUCCGAGUGCUCCCGGUUACUGAGACGGCAGGAAGAAGGGCUGAGAAAGGGUGGACUCGUACCCGGGUAAAAGCAUCAGUUAGCCCUGAUACCGGGGAGACUGCAUUAACAGAGACUUUUCAGGAUAUAUCUGUGUAUAUCCAGAGA